GAUGAACGCUGGCGGCGUGCUUAACACAUGCAAGUCGAACGGGAAUUAUUUUAUUGAAACUUCGGUCGAUUUAAUUUAAUUCUGGUGGCGGACGGGUGAGUAACGCGUGGGUAACCUGCCUUAUACAGGGGGAUAACAGUCAGAAAUGGCUGCUAAUACCGCAUAAGCGCACAGAGCUGCAUGGCUCAGUGUGAAAAACUCCGGUGGUAUAAGAUGGACCCGCGUUGGAUUAGCUUGUUGGCAGGGUAACGGCCUACCAAGGCGACGAUCCAUAGCCGGCCUGAGAGGGUGAACGGCCACAUUGGGACUGAGACACGGCCCAGACUCCUACGGGAGGCAGCAGUGGGGAAUAUUGCACAAUGGGGGAAACCCUGAUGCAGCGACGCCGCGUGAAAGAAGAAGUAUCUCGGUAUGUAAACUUCUAUCAGCAGGGAAGAUAGUGACGGUACCUGACUAAGAAGCCCCGGCUAACUACGUG
Molecule: ribosomal RNA, 478 nt
Filed under: uncultured bacterium
Lineage: Bacteria
Description: partial 16S ribosomal RNA
Rfam family: Bacterial small subunit ribosomal RNA
Source: RNAcentral